CAAAGAGGAAAUGAAUUCAAAAACAACCCAGUAGAAUCCUACUAGUAGGGUCUGGGAGGGUAGAGUGUACACAGAUCUUACCCCUAUCCCGAAGGGAUAGAGAGGCUGUUUCCGGGAGACCCUCGGCUCAGAGACAAUAGAUCCAUAACAACAAUAGAAACCAGAAAAAUAGUAUCGAAAAUACAGCAAAUAAAUAGAAAGGCCAAAAUGUGAAAGACAGAAAAAAAUGUGAAACACAAUAAAAACCGCUAGCAGUCCUAGACAAAACACUAGCCGGCGCAGCGAGGAGAAACGCUCGAUUACUUCCUAACCUACAACCCUAAUGCUCGACCUCCACACCUUCCUAUCAAGGGCCAUGUCCUCAGAAAUUUGAAGUCGCGCCAUGUCCUGCCUGAUCACCUCGCCCCAAUACUUCUUAGGCCGUCCUUUACCUCUUCUCGUACCUGCCAGAGCCAACCGCUCACACCUCCUAACCGAAGCAUCUAGGCUCUAACCAUCUAAGCCUCGCUUCCCGCAUCUUGUCAUCCACGGGAGCCAUGACCACUUUCUCCCGAAUAUCCUCAUUCCUAAUCUUAUCCAUCCUAGUGUGCCCGCACAUCCAUCUCAACAUACUCAUUUCUGCUACUUUCAUUUCCUGGGUAUGUGAAAUCUUGACUAGCCAACACUCGACCCCAUAUAACAUGGCCGGUCUAACCACCGCUCUCUAGAACUUGCCUUUAAGUUUAGGUGGCACAUUCUUGUCACACAGGACUCCAGACGCUAACCUCCAUUUCAUUUACCCACCCCGAUACGGUGCGUGACAUCCCGUCGAUCUCCCCAUCUCCCUGGAUAAUAGACCCUAGGUACUUGAAACUCUCUCUCUUAGGGAUGACUUGUGAGUCAAGCCUCACUUCCACAUCCGCCCCGACACGUCGCUGAACUUACACUCCAAAUAUUCCGUCUUGGUCCUACUCAACUUGAAACCUUUAGACUCCAGGGCCUGUCUCCAUACCUUCAGUCUCUCGUUAACGCCACAUCGCGUCUCAUCAAUCAAAACUAUAUCAUCCGCGAACAGCAUACGCCAAGGCACCUCCCCUUGAAUAUGGUGUGUCAGUGCGUCUAUCGCCAGGACAAAUAAGUACGGGCUGAACGCAGAUCCUUGGUAUAACCCCAUAACCAACGGAAAAGGCUCUGAGUCACCUCCCACAGUCCUAACCCGAGUCUUAGCUCCACCAUACAUAUCUUUAAUCGCCCUAAUAUAAACUACCGGUACACCUUUCACCUCCAGGCAUCUCCAAAGAGCGUCCCUAGGGACCUUGUCAUACGCCUUCUCUAGGUCAAUAAACACUAUGUGCAAGUUCCUCUUCCUAUCUUUGUACUGUUCCACCAACCUCCUAAUUAGGUGGAUAGCUUCCGUAGUAGAACGACCCGGCAUGAACCCAAACUGAUUCUCUGAUCUUUACCCUCCCUUCCACCACCCUCUCCCAAACUUUCAUGGUACGACUCAGUAACUUGAUACCCUUAUAGUUGUUACAAUUCUGGAUAUCACCUUUGUUCUUGUACAACGGAAUCAUCGUACUUCACCUCCACUCAUCUGGCAUCCUCUUCGUCCUGAAAAUAAUAUUAAAUAGCUAGUCAGCUACUCCAAGCCUGCUCUACCCAUAUACCUCCAAAAUUCUACAGAGGAAAUGAAUUCAAUGCCUUUAAUUGGACAAUUACCAUACAGUCGUUCAAAGGGAAUGAAUCCAGUACCUUUAAUUGGAGAAUCACCAUGCAGUCAAAGUCGGUCAAAAGAAAUGAACUCAACUCCUUUAAUUGGAGAAUCACCUCAUACCCACAGUCGUUUGAAACGUUCUUCAAUGGGGUUUGAUGAUAAAUUAGUUAACACAAUAUGUGAUGUAAGUUUUUUAUUUUUGUUUUUAGUGUGAAGUUUUUUGUUCAACAUUGUUUGAAUUACAUGCUUCUUUAACUUUCAUAACCUGAAGUUUUUGUUCUGUAUUUGCUGAACUUCAGUAUUGUUAGAGCUGAAGUUAUGUAUUGUGUUUGCUAACAUGCCUGUUUAAUCUGAAUUUUUUCAUGUUGUUUUGCUUAACUACAACAUGUUUUGUACUUUAUUUACUUAAGGCCAAAUGGCCUCGUGAUCACUUAAACUUGUAUCACUUUGCAGACCCGAUACAUAAACUUACACCUUUUCCAUUUGAACACUCCAGCUUGAAAAAAUGGGUACUAAUAACCACCUUUGACCAUUGACUAUGCCUAUGUGGAAGCAAUGCAGCUGACAUGGCUAAAUUGUGUGCAAAUCACGCUGCCAAGGCGCAUGGAUAGUAUUGUUUUUAUUAAAAAAAUAUUAGAGUUUAGAAUAAAAUAUAAAUAAGAAAGAAAAAAAGACCUUUCCCUUCCCCUUCUCUUUCCCCUCCCCUUCCACCUAGGGGUGGGCGUUCGGUACUUCGGUACGCUAUUAAGAACUAUGGUUCGGUAAAUCAAUUAUGCAUACCAAAUACCGUACCAAAGUAAUUCGGUACGAUUCGAUAUUUCUUGUUUGGUUCGGUACGGUUUCGGUAGCCAACCAAACUAGACUAAUUUUGCAUUAGUAUAAAGCAUUAAUAAACUAAAUUGUUAAAAACGUUUUCAACAGUCAACAGACUCAACACCAACACUUCACUGGAUAACUUCAUAUGUUACUGCCCUUACUUACUAACAUGUGCCUGUAAGAAGGCUUCAAUAAAAGUUAAAGAUACAAAAGUUUGCACGUCUAACUAAGAAAGCUUCAACACUUCAAUCAACAAUAUCUGCCAAACAAAACUUAGAAGAUGCUUCCCUUCGACUAAGAAGAUUUUUACUUAAUUACUCUUCAAUCAACAAUAUUUGAGUCCCUGCAACUAAGAAUGCUUCCCAAUAAACUACAUCUGCCAACGACACAGCUAAACUAGUAAACUAGUAAACUACAACAGUCAGGAGUCCAACGACUCCACCAAACAUCUGCCAAAUAAUUCGGCAUUUCGAUAUACCGAAAUAUCGAAACUUCAAUACCGAGGACCGUACCGAAACACUGAAUAACCAAAAAAUUGAUACCGAAAUACCGAACUAAUGUCCGGUUCGGAAUUCGUUUUUUCGGGUUUUAUGCCCACCUCUACUCCCAACUCUCUCGUCUUCCCAGCAAAUCUCCCACCCCCAUUCUGUAAUAUUUUUCAUUUUCUAUCUUAAUUUCUCUCCCCCUCCCCUUUCUCUAUUUCCUUUUUCCUUCAUCUUCCAUCUUUUCUUUCAUUUGCUAGUCUCCACCCACCAUUUUCGUCCCAACCUCCCUCAACCACCGGUAGACGGAAGAAAGCUUGAACUUUGUCGUUGUUCUAUCAUCGAAUUCAUCUUUACCAAAGUAGUAGCAAAAAAGGCAGAUUUGUAAUAGUAUUGGGCGACCUCCACUUUCAAAAUCAUGGAUUUCUGUUUUUUUUUUCUAAAAUUCCAAAUUUAAGUUUUUUUGUUAUGGUCUAAUCAUGGCCAUAGUGAUGUUGUGAAUUUGAUUUAGAAAUAAGAGAGGAAAGAAUAAUGAAGAAAAAAGAAAGGAGAAGAAAGAAGAAGAGGAAGGGAGGAGGUGACGAAGAAGAAGGGGGAUGGUUGUGUACAGAUUAAAACUGGUGUAGUAAGUUUUAGGUGUUUUUCCUUUUUUUCUUUUUUGUAUUUGUAACUUUUUUUUGCUGAUUUUGUAUUUAAAAAUGGGACCCACAAAUAACACAUGUCAAGUAAUAAAUAAUUUAGCAUAUGACGUGUUGUACAUGUCAGCGCAAUUGAUAUACACGCUCUGCUGGAUGUGUUUAUUAGUACCCAUUUUUUCAAGUUGGAGUGUUCAAAUGGGAAAUGUGUAAGUUCAUGUAUCGGUUUUACAAACGGAUACAAGUUUAAGUGGUCACGAGGCCAUUGGCCUUUACUUAACUACAUGCCUAUUUAGUCGGAAAUUAUUGUAUUGUUUCUAUUUUUAUACUAGAGGGUAAUGAGGGAGGUUAAAAAGCAAAGUGCAAGUUCAAGUGGAAGGUUCUAGUGUUGAUAGAUUGAGCAAAAAUGUUGGAUGUGAUGAAAAGUUAUUAACCGAGAAUGUUGGAAUUGAGAAAGAUGCAGAUAAUGAAGCUGUUGUUACUAAAAAACAUGCACUGAAUGCAGAUGUCUAUACUCGUAUUGCAAUUUGUUUUUGGAAGCAUUAACUGUUUAUCAAGGAAUUUUAGGUAGAAACACACAAGAAGUUGUCACUACAGGUAUAAAUGUGUUCUAUCUUAUUAUAUUUGAUUACCGGUAAGUUUUGAGUCGUUGAUUUCUUUUCUCUAUCAAUAUGCAGUGGAAGUAAAAAACAAUGGCGCUUCAAUUGAUAAGAGUCAAAAACACCCCAACGAUGUUGCAUGAAGCUCGACUUGAAAAAUCCUUCUGCAAAAUACUCCAAAGCUCCCCGGCUAUGCUGCACCAUUGAAUGAAGUUGCUGAGAUAGAGAAAGGUAUGCAGUCCGGCUAGCACAGAGGAAAGCAAACGUCGAGGUGUCCUACACAUCACGAACUUAUUACAUUUGAUCCAAGUUUUUAUUUUUAGUUUGAAAUUUAUUUUCUUUUUUGCAUUUUUUUCAUAAUUAAUUAUUAUUCAGAAAGAUUUCAGGCAGCUGAAAAAGAAAUUGGCAAGCUCAGAAAUACAUCUUUUUAUACCUGUUGGCUCGCAGACAAGUGUGAAGUUGCUUUGUAGUAUUUUCAAAAUUUAGUAAGUAUUAUUUAAUUUGUUUUUUCUUUUUUUUUUUUGCAUGAAGAUGUAGUGAUAUCUGAGGGGAAUGCAAGCGGAUCCAUUAGUAUGCAAACGCCAUCUGCAUCACAACACUUAGACCAGGUAGUUAUUUCUUGCAAUGUGAUUACAGGGUGUUUUUGACAAAUGUGUGUUUGUAACAGUUGUAUUUAUGUAUAUAUUUUCUUUGUUUUUAAGAUCUCAUCUGAUGGAUCGCAACUCCUUCCAAAUCCUAAGAGAAAGAAGCUAUCAAGUUUUGCUUGACAAUAGUUAUAUCCCAACUUCAAUUAUGUUCAUUUUCACUUGGUAGUAUACAAGAGAUUAUUUCAGAAGGCAAUUCUGCUGCUGCUGCUGUUGGUGAAGUGAGACAAGAAGAUUAUAAACAACAGGGAGUUUGAGAAAGAUCUAUUCUUAUGGCUGUGGGUUUUGCAGCUCCUGCCGAACCACGACAGUUAGUUGAGGCUGAGCAGCAAGCAGAAGGAAAAGCAGCUAAACUAGGGAAAAGGAAUCGCAUAGCUAGUAUUUGGUUGAAAUUUCCUUGUGUGAUUCAUAGCAGCAGGACAGUGGGAGUGAAAAGAAGAACGUGUCCAUGCUGUCCUUGUCCAAUUGCUGUAUGUUAAGUUUGAGUACAUGAGAUGAGUAUCAAAGAGAAAUUCGCACUUGGAGCUACUCACUCUUAGGAGCUGCUUUUCAAUUAAACACGUGAGUAACUGCAUUCUCUAUAAUGUGAUCAAUUUGCAUGUUCUACUAUCUGUGAUGUUUGUUGGCACAUGCCUGUAUUGCUUAUCCAUUCAUAUUCAUCUAGCCAAAACAUGCGGAAUUUCUUUUUUGACGCAUGUGUCAAAGACUAUUUGGUAAUUUGCGAGAUAGUUGAUUGAUUGAUCCCUUGAUCCCAAAGACAAUCUUGAAGGUACUAAUCGUAAGAGUUCUGGUCUGCUAUCUAUCUUUACGUAACUUUAGAAAUUUCAUAUGUUUAAUGGCCUUAAAAGUCCUUGUUGUCAAGAAAAAUCUGUUCAUGUCAAGUGUCUGUAAAAGUUUGUGUUAUAUCGGAAUAUGGAGUAGCCACUGAUCGUGGUCUGUAUUUAUUUGUUAUGCAGAUACAUAUCUUUGUCAAGGAAGAUGCUAUCUUUUAUUGGCUUUGUGAAUUUAACUUUGUAUUAGGAUCACAGAAUGAAAGAUAUGGUAUCUGAAUUUUCGAAAGUGGAGGAAGCCAAACCAUAUGUCUUGAAAGGGCAUAUAUCUUUUUUAGAUUCUGCUGGGGCAUUGAAAUCUUGCUGCACGAUAAUUUAGAAGUCUUACCUCCAAAUAUAAUGUACAAUAUAUGGGGAGAUUUUUUCCCUUUUUAGAUCGAUAUUAUUACCUGAUGUUUUCUUUGCUUCCUUCGGUUGUUGCUACUAUCUCGCUUUCCAUAGUUUUUUGUCAUAACUGUUGUGAUUUUGCUUUAUUGAGCCGAGGGUCUUCCGAAAACAACCUCUCUACCUUCACAAGGUAGGGGGUAAGGUUUGCGUACAUACUACCCUCUCCAAACCUCACUUGUGGGAACACACUGGGUAAGUUAUUGUUGUUGUAAUAUAUGGGGAGAUUCCUUCCUUUAGUAUACUUUUUGGUAUCUCUUAUCUUAUCUCUUUGGUUCUUUGUGAUAUGGGACAGUGUUUGGUUGAUUACUCUGCCUUAAAAUGUGCAUUUGUUCUGGAUUUUGGACCUCCUGAAAUUGAUUUAUAGGCCACUUGCAAAACUUUCUGGAACAAUUUAUUAGCUACUUGAAGAUCUUUAUGGAGUUGUUUCUUCUUCUCCCUCUUUGCUCCUACUGGCACAGGGUGACGGGGUGUGUGACAAAAAUGUGGUGGGUCGCAUAUUUGAGAAUUUACUGGAAAAUGACAUGAAUUGUUUUAUGCGACCCACCUAUAGGUCACGGGUUCGAGCCGUGGAAGCAGCCACUAAUGCUUGCCUUAGGAUAGGCUGUCAACAUCACAUCCCUCGGGGUGCGGCCCUUCCCUGGAACCUGCGUAAAUGCGGGAGUGCACACCCGGGCUGCCCUAUAACAGAGGGGAGUGGGGCAUGGGCGUGAUAGAGUAUGCUAGUAAAUGCUACAGUUGAGCGGUCCUAAAACCAGUGCUUUAGCAAAGAGUAAUUGCAUGGUCCCUAAUGUGAAUACUGUCUUGUUGCUAUCCCACAUAUAGGUGCUUGCACUCUAAUAAAUACAUGACAUGAAAUUUGUAUAUUAAGUUUUAUCAGUUAAACAUGCUUAAAUAAAAGACAUUCUCAUAUAUCAGAUAAUCAUAAUAAGUUAUUAUAGUUAGAUGUAAAUAUUCUCCGCUUGCCGACAAAUGAGGAAUAAUCUCCCCUCGCUAAUAUGAGUGGAGCUAAAAUUGCAAAUACGGGUUCGAUCGAAUUCAGUUGUUGCUCCUUCUCCACUCACUAACCUAUGUUGGAGAGACAUGUAGAGGAUAUUGUUAAUUGAUUAUUUAGAACAACAUAACAGUUUUAAGUCCAAUAUGAUUCAUCAGCUGCAAGUACAAUCCACUCACUAGAUUAUGAAUUCAACUCAGGAUGGUAGUUGAAUUUUACAUAGAUAAAAAUAAAUAUGACUUUUAUUCUGCAAUGUUUCAAGUUUUAUUUAUGGAUAAUGAUGGACGAUUCAUCAAAUGAAUCGGCUGUGGUGUUCAAAAAUAUAAAUAUUUUUCAGCAGAAAGUCAUUUUUUUGGUGUUUGAUUGACGGACAUUAAAUGGAGGGAAAUAACUUCAGUUAUUACGGGCGAAAGUCGUUUUCCUUGCAACUGUCUAAUCUUUAAACUUCAUAUUACUUUAGUCAAAUAAACAUUAUUACUAGUCUUUUGUAUUAAAAAAUUUCGUCAAAACACGUCCCUGAAUCUCCGAUUUGCUUGUGUUUUUAAUCUCAAAUAUAUAUAUAUAUAGAUAUUUUUCGAAAAAGUUUCAUUCACCAAUCAAACACUUAAAAUAUUUUUCAAAAAUAUAUUUCAUGAAUAAUGACUUCCUCUAACCAUUCUUACUCAUUCACAAACGGGAAAUUUACAUUAGAAAAUAGAAAUAAAGAGGAAUAGUUCCUGUCAAAGUAAUGGCUUUUGGUCCCUACCCUAUUUAUCUCCAUCAAUUUCCCAAAACAAGACAAGAUAUUUUUUUCUUUUCUUAUCUGUCUCUCCUCUUAAUAUAUGACAGACAUUGUGUGGUGUAUAAAGCAUUGUACACAUUUCUUUUUGAACUUUGGGUGAUAUUAAGCGUGUGAAAGAGCACUUUCUUGAACAGAAUUGUGAUAAAAUGACAAUUCUGUAGUUGUAAAAAGAUGGAUAUUUCAUUAUCCAAGUGGGCUUCUGGCUAUUUCUCCUCGUUCAAUUAAGUGGUGGAGAAAGAAAAAUAGGCUAAUUUAGUUUUAACGUUAACUUCAAUCCAAAAAUAUUUUAUCUUUCUAACUCGUCCAUGAUAAAAACGUGUUCAGCAGUGGACAGUGACGGAUCCAAAUAUUUUAAAUAUGGUUGCUUAACUAUUUUUCAUCUCAAAAUUGCUACUAAGAUUGGUUAAUAUAUUUGCAUAAAUUUUCUAUUUUUUAUAAUGAUAGUAUUUGGUUCCAUAAGUAAUGGGUGCUCGAGCAUCCAUAACCUAUAAUGUAGAUGUAGCAGAUGUAGAUUAUUAGCUUUAUAGGUCAACUGAA
RNAcentral lists this long non-coding RNA (8395 nucleotides) under Nicotiana tabacum (common tobacco). RNAcentral's name for it is "long non-coding RNA (NTAB_LNC007425)". The record is from RNAcentral. Lineage: Eukaryota; Viridiplantae; Streptophyta; Magnoliopsida; Solanales; Solanaceae.